UGCGUGCAACUUCCUCCAAAACUGCUCCAAAAACAAGCACACGCCCCUUCACGCAUAGCACUUCAAACAAUGCUACCCAUUCUAAGACAGACCAUUGUCAAUCUGAAGUCCAGCUCCCGAGGCUUGUGGAGGACGUGCAGGUCCAUUCCAGAGCUCCAAUUACCAUGAGAAUGGAUGGGAGCCCACCAUCGUUACACACAAGCAUGCACACACCAGGGAGGACGGUAAAACCUGGAGCUGGACUGCUUGCUACUCAGGUGUCCUGCUUUAACCAAAUUACGACCUAAAUCCAUGCUGCAUACAGUGUGCAUCGGCGUUAUCCUCAAAAACUAAAUGUUUGCUGCAGAAUGGCUUUUUCAGACUUUUGACCCUUAUUUUGUGUUUGUGGGCGUGUCAGCAUUUUGGAUAAAGAUGGCCACCGCCCCUUCCUGGGAUACCACCAGCACCAGCCAACAGUCUGUCUCCAGGCUUGGUGCUGGGAAUGGUGACCUCUUCCACAAAGGUGCUGGGGAACUGACCUGAAGGAACAGAUGUGAACAACAUCGGAGUCGCCACAGCAGAUCAUGUGCCUCCAAAUGUCCAAACCACCUCAGCCUUGCCUCUCCAACUUUGUCUCCAAACCAAUCAACCUGAGCUGUCCCUACCUGUCCAUCCCGCUCGCCCCAAUGAAAAAUCUCCGCAUCAUCAGCUCAGCCUCCGGUCUUUUUGUCAGUGCCAUCGUCUCCAAACCAUCACACCAGGUCUCACUACCAAACCUUCCCUUUCACUCUUGCUGCUAUCCUUCUGGCACCCCAUGAACGCCCCAUCUCCACCCACUCCAACCUCCUUCACCUCUCGUGUGUACAUUUCAUUGCUCUGGAUGGCUAACGCCACAUAUUUAAACUCAUCUAUCUUCACUACCUCUAUUCCCUGCAGCUUCGCUGUUACACCCAUCUCACUUUAUUUUUGGACAUUUUGCACACGUGUACAAAAUAUCAAUAAAUACCAUUUUCAGGAUCAGCUGAACAAGCUAUUGUUGACUUCCCCUGCGUGAAUAUGGGUGUUUGACUGUUAGGUUUCUCUCACACAUGAACACAGAUCACUUCAGAUCCAGGUUUACUUCUGGAACUCGACUUGGUUAAGGUGAGGAGGUUUCCUGGUCAGAAGCUGCAGGAUAAAGGGAACCCGCUAGCUGUGCAUUCACCUGCAAUAUUCUUACACUGAUGUAUUGUGCUGCAAAUCAGUCACAGAAUUUGUGUUGUGCUCUUGUAGGUU
This is a long non-coding RNA of Oreochromis niloticus (Nile tilapia), 1254 nucleotides long. RefSeq lists it as uncharacterized. The transcript has 4 exons. Lineage: Eukaryota; Metazoa; Chordata; Actinopteri; Cichliformes; Cichlidae. The record is from RefSeq and is a predicted model, not a curated record.